AGGACAAACGCUGGCGGCGUGCAUAAAACAUGCAAGUCGGACGAGCCAAUCCCCGCAAGGGGAAAGGCUAGUGGCGAACGGCUGAGUAACACGUAGGUGACCUGCCCUGAAGUGGGGGAUAACGACUCGAAAGAGUCGCUAAUACCGCAUGUGACCACCGAUUCGUUUUCGGUGCUCAAAGUCGUAAGACGCUUUAGGAGGGGCCUGCGGCGGAUUAGCUAGUUGGUGAGGUAAUGGCCCACCAAGGCUUCGAUCCGUAGC
RNAcentral lists this ribosomal RNA (261 nucleotides) under uncultured bacterium. RNAcentral's name for it is "partial small subunit ribosomal RNA". It matches the Rfam family "Bacterial small subunit ribosomal RNA", at positions 26 to 287 of the family's 1533-position model. The record is from RNAcentral.